RNAcentral lists this ribosomal RNA (253 nucleotides) under uncultured bacterium. RNAcentral's name for it is "partial 16S ribosomal RNA". It matches the Rfam family "Bacterial small subunit ribosomal RNA", at positions 524 to 776 of the family's 1533-position model. The record is from RNAcentral.
UACGUAGGUGGCAAGCGUUGUCCGGAUUUACUGGGCGUAAAGCGCGCGCAGGCGGUCCGUUAAGUUCGGUGUGAAAGCUCCCGGCUCAACUGGGAGAGGUCAUCGAAGACUGGCGGACUCGAGGGAGGCAGAGGAAGGUGGAAUUCCCGGUGUAGUGGUGAAAUGCGUAGAGAUCGGGAGGAACACCAGUGGCGAAGGCGGCCUUCUGGGCCUUUCCUGACGCUGAGGCGCGAAAGCGUGGGGAGCGAACCGG